This 296-nucleotide signal recognition particle RNA is filed under the name Leptobrachium leishanense (Leishan spiny toad). Its description in RNAcentral is "Metazoan signal recognition particle RNA (ENSLLEG00000023975.1)". It matches the Rfam family "Metazoan signal recognition particle RNA". Rfam says of the family: The signal recognition particle (SRP) is a universally conserved ribonucleoprotein. It is involved in the co-translational targeting of proteins to membranes. The record is from Rfam by way of RNAcentral. Lineage: Eukaryota; Metazoa; Chordata; Amphibia; Anura; Megophryidae.
GCCGGGUGCAGUGGCGUGCGCCUGUAAUCCUGCUGCUGGGAGGCUGAGGCUGGCGGAUCGCUUGAGUCCAGGAGUUCUGAUCUGCCCUGCGCUAUGUCGAUCGGGUGUCCGCACUAAGUUCGGUAUCAAUAUGGCGGGGCCGUGGGAGCUCGGCUUCACCAGGUUGCUCUAAGGAGGGGUGAACCGGCCCAGGUCGGAGACGGAGCAGGUCAAAACCCCGUGCCGAUCAGUAGUGGGCCCGCGCCCGUGAAUAGCCGGGCAGGCAGCCUGGCCAACACAGCGAGACUCUGCUUUUA